GACGAACGCUGGCGGCGUGCCUAAUACAUGCAAGUCGAACGAAGCUGUUUUAACUGGUGCCUGCACCGACUUAAACAACUGAGUGGCGAACGGGUGAGUAACACGUGGGUAACCUGCCCCAAAGCGGGGGAUAACAUUUGGAAACAGAUGCUAAUACCGCAUAAUCACAGAAACCACAUGGUUUCUGUGUAAAAGAUGGUUUCGUCUAUCACUUUGGGAUGGACCCGCGGCGUAUUAGGUAGUUGGUAAGGUAAUGGAUUACCAAGGCAAUGAUACGUAGCCGAACUGAGAGGUUGAUCGGCCACAUUGGGACUGAGACACGGCCCAAACUCCUACGGGAGGCAGCAGUAGGGAAUCUUCCACAAUGGACGAAAGUCUGAUGGAGCAACGCCGCGUGAGUGAAGAAGGUUUUCGGAUCGUAAAACUCUGUUGUCAGAGAAGAACGUGUGCGAGAGUAACUGUUCGUGCAGUGACGGUAUCUGGCCAGAAAGCCACGGCUAACUACGUGCCAGCAGCCGCCGUAA
Molecule: ribosomal RNA, 524 nt
Filed under: uncultured bacterium
Lineage: Bacteria
Description: partial 16S ribosomal RNA
Rfam family: Bacterial small subunit ribosomal RNA
Source: RNAcentral